This 503-nucleotide ribosomal RNA is filed under the name uncultured Eubacteriales bacterium. RNAcentral describes it as "bacterial SSU rRNA". It matches the Rfam family "Bacterial small subunit ribosomal RNA", at positions 36 to 507 of the family's 1533-position model. The record is from RNAcentral. Lineage: Bacteria; Bacillati; Bacillota; Clostridia; Eubacteriales.
AGAAGUUUCGUAGUCCUCGGCGUCACGGAUAAAACGACUGGCGGCGCGACAUAAGACAUGCAAGUCGAACGAACUUAACCCUUUGUUUUACAUUGGGUAGCGGUUAGUGGCGGACUGGUGAGUAACACGUAAGCAACCUGCCUAUUAGAGGGGAAUAACAGUGAGAAAUCAUUGCUAAUACCGCAUAUGCUCACAGUAUCACAUGAUACAGUGAGGAAAGGAGCAAUCCACUAAUAGAUGGGCUUGCGUCUGAUUAGCUAGUUGGUGGGGUAACGGCCUACCAAGGCGACGAUCAGUAGCCGGACUGAGAGGUUGAACGGCCACAUUGGGACUGAGAUACGGCCCAGACUCCUACGGGAGGCAGCAGUCGGGAAUAUUGCGCAAUGGAGGAAACUCUGACGCAGUGACGCCGCGUAUAGGAAGAAGGUUUUCGGAUUGUAAACUAUUGUCGUUAGGAAAGAUAAAAGACAGUACCUAAGGAGGAAGCUCCGGCUAACUAUGUG